CCUACGGGAGGCAGCAGUGGGGAAUAUUGCACAAUGGGCGCAAGCCUGAUGCAGCAACGCCGCGUGAGGGAUGACGGCCUUCGGGUUGUAAACCUCUUUCAGUAGGGAAGAAGCGAAAGUGACGGUACCUACAGAAGAAGCACCGGCUAACUACGUGCCAGCAGCCGCGGUAAUACGUAGGGUGCGAGCGUUGUCCGGAAUUAUUGGGCGUAAAGAGCUUGUAGGCGGUUUGUCGCGUCUGCUGUGAAAAUCCGGGGCUCAACCCCGGACUUGCAGUGGGUACGGGCAGACUAGAGUGUGGUAGGGGAGACUGGAAUUCCUGGUGUAGCGGUGAAAUGCGCAGAUAUCAGGAGGAACACCGAUGGCGAAGGCAGGUCUCUGGGCCACUACUGACGCUGAGAAGCGAAAGCGUGGGGAGCGAACAGGAUUAGAUACCCUGGUAGUCCACGCCGUAAACGUUGGGAACUAGGUGUGGGUCUCAUUCCACGAGAUCCGUGCCGCAGCUAACGCAUUAAGUUCCCCGCCUGGGGAGUACUGCCGCAAGGCUAAAACUCAAAUGAAUUGACGG
RNAcentral lists this ribosomal RNA (568 nucleotides) under uncultured bacterium. RNAcentral's name for it is "bacterial SSU rRNA". It matches the Rfam family "Bacterial small subunit ribosomal RNA", at positions 338 to 916 of the family's 1533-position model. The record is from RNAcentral.